Molecule: ribosomal RNA, 501 nt
Filed under: uncultured bacterium
Lineage: Bacteria
Description: partial 16S ribosomal RNA
Rfam family: Bacterial small subunit ribosomal RNA
Source: RNAcentral
AUUGAACGCUGGCGGCAGGCUUAACACAUGCAAGUCGAGCGGAGAUGAGGUGCUUGCACCUUAUCUUAGCGGCGGACGGGUGAGUAAUGCUUAGGAAUCUGCCUAUUAGUGGGGGACAACAUUCCGAAAGGAAUGCUAAUACCGCAUACGUCCUACGGGAGAAAGCAGGGGAUCUUCGGACCUUGCACUAAUAGAUGAGCCUCAGUCGGAUUAGCUAGUUGGUGGGGUAAAGGCCUACCAAGGCGACGAUCUGUAGCGGGUCUGAGAGGAUGAUCCGCCACACUGGGACUGAGACACGGCCCAGACUCCUACGGGAGGCAGCAGUGGGGAAUAUUGGACAAUGGGGGGAACCCUGAUCCAGCCAUGCCGCGUGUGUGAAGAAGGCCUUAUGGUUGUAAAGCACUUUAAGCGAGGAGGAGGCUACUGAGACUAAUACUCUUGGAUAGUGGACGUUACUCGCAGAAUAAGCACCGGCUAACUCUGUGCCAGCCGCCGCAGUAA